GAACGCUAGCGGCGCGCUUAAUGCAUGCAAGUCGAGCGAUGAGGCUCCUUCGGGGGUACAUCAGCGGCAGACGGGUGAGUAACACGUAGGUGACCUACCCUCGAGACGGGGAUAACGGCUGGAAACAGUCGCUAAUACCCGAUAGACUUACCAGGUCAAAGCGGUAAGAAAAGCUACGGUGCUUGAGGAGGGGCCUGCGGCCCAUCAGCUAGUUGGUAGGGUAACGGCCUACCAAGGCGAAGACGGGUAGGGGGUGUGAGAGCACGAGCCCCCACAAUGGGACUGCGACACGGCCCAUACUCCUACGGGAGGCAGCAGCAGGGAAUAUUGCACAAUGGACGGAAGUCUGAUGCAGCGACGCCGCGUGAGUGAAGACGGCCUUCGGGUUGUAAAGCUCUUUUACGGGGGACGAGGAAGGACGGUACCCUGGGAAGAAGUGUCGGCUAACUACGUGCCAGCAGCCGCGGUAAGACGUAGGACACAAGCGUUAUCCGGAGUUACUGGGCGUAAAGCGCCUGCAGGCGGCCUGGUAAGUUGGACGUGAAAGCCCCGUGCUUAACGCGGGGAGGUCGGACAAUACUGCCAAGCUAGAGUGCGUCAGAGGGGAGUGGAAUUUCCGGAGUAGCGGUAAAAUGCGCAGAUAUCGGAAGGAACACCAGUGGCGAAAGCGACUCCCUGGGGCGCGACUGACGCUAAGAGGCGAAAGCUAGGGGAGCGAACAGGAUUAGAGACCCUGGUAGUCCUAGCCCUAAACGAUGGAUGCUAGGUGUGGGACGUAAAAGUUCCCGUGCCCGGGGAAAGCCAAACGCGAUAAGCAUUCCCCGCCUGGGGACUACGGUCGCAAGGCUAAAACUCAAACGAAUUGACGGGGACCCGCACAAGCAGCGGAGCGUGUGGUUCAAUUCGAUGCUACACGAAGAACCUUACGUGGGUUUUGACAUGUACGUGGUAGAGAAGCGAAAGCGGAUUGACCCUUCGGGGAGCGUACACCAGGUGCUGCAUGGCUGUCGUCAGCUCGUGCCGUGAGGUGUCGGUUAAGUCCCGUACGAGCGCACCCUAUCCUAGUUGCACGUAUCUAGGGAGACGCCGCGGGAAGCCGGAGGAAGGUGGGGAUGACGUCAAGUCAGCAUGGCCCUUAUGUCCCAGGGCUACACACACGCUACAAUGGCCGGUACAAAGGGCAGCAAAGUCGCGAGGCGGAGCGAUCCCAACAAAGCCGGUCGUAGUUCGGAUGCAGGCUGCAACUCGCCUGCAUGAAGCUGGAGUUGCUAGUAACCGCGCGUCAGCUAUAGUGCGGUGAAUACGUACCCGGGUCUUGUACACACCGCCCGUCACGUCAUGGAAGUCGGUAACGCCUGAAGGCGGUA
Molecule: ribosomal RNA, 1367 nt
Filed under: uncultured organism
Description: bacterial SSU rRNA
Rfam family: Bacterial small subunit ribosomal RNA
Source: RNAcentral